Xyrichtys novacula (pearly razorfish) is the source of this 4155-nucleotide non-coding RNA. NCBI's taxonomy places the organism in Eukaryota, Metazoa, Chordata, Actinopteri, Labriformes, Labridae. The record is from the annotation of a GenBank genome assembly.
UUUGAUGUUGGCGAAACAGCGAACAGUCUUGAUGGGUAUAUUGGUGUCUCUACAUAAGUUGACAUAAUCAGUAAAGCAGUCAACCUUUUUAUCAAUGUUCAUACUAUCCACAUCUUUUUCCAGCAGCACAUUCCAGUCUGUUGAUUUAAAACAGUCCCUAAGAGCUUCACUAGCUUGAGGUGUCCAUCAUCUGAUUUUGCCUUUGAUAACAGGCUGCCUCAGUACACAACGUCUGUAACAGGUUUGCAGAUAGACCAAGUUAUGUUCUGACUUGCCCAGUGAUGGUAAGGCAGUGGCUCUGUAGGCUUCUUUGAUGUUGGCAUACAGCAAAUCCAGACUUUUGUUUUCUCUGAUAGGAUAGUUCACAAACUGUGUGAAUCCAGUCAGGUGAGAGAAGAGGGUGACAUGGUUGAAGUCUCCCGAUAUUAUUAGAUUAUUAGAUUAUUAGUACCUCAGGGUGUUGAGUCUGUAGCCUGGCUACACUAUUUUGCAAAACAGCACAAGGAAUUUCUUCAGUUGAUUUGGGUGGAAUGUAAACAACUAUUGUUAUGAUAUGACUAAAUUUUCUUGGAACAUAAUAUGGCCGAGGAGCUUAUAAGAGUGAAACCAGGUAGAUCCUCAGUGGAGUCCGAGUUGUUUUGAUAUAAUAAUUCUCACUAUUCAUGUCUUAUUCUACAAAAAUUCUGACAUUAACUGUUUCAUCAUAUUCAUACCUGCCUUGUUUUCUAAACCUACUAAAUUUCCAUCAGGCAGUGCCUUCAGGUUUCAGUUUUCCACAGUAUAAAUCCCUCUGACCAUUCAUGCCUCAUACUGCUCCUUUGUACAAUUUUCUAUUCAUUUAAACAGAUUAAAACUUUCAUAUUUCACACAUUUAAACUGUUGUGAUUGUAAGCAUGUGAAAUUAUUCAUUCUUUCAUAAAAGUGAAUUAAAACUCAAGACUUCCAUAUUGUUACUCUAUUGACAUUGAAUCAAAAAAAAAAAUUAAAAUUAAAACAGCAAUAGAACAACAUGUGGUGUAUAUGGCACCAUCAGCCUUCGAACCUCUAAGCAUGUCAGGAAAAAACUCCCCCAAAAAAUGCUUUCUCAGGACAAGAGGAAAAAACCUUUAGGUAGGCCAGAUCUUAGAGGGAUCCCCUCCCAGGACAACUAAUCAUGCAGUAUUUUCGAGUUCUAAGGUCAGCAGAGAUCAAGUGGCUUCAGGGUCCCUGGUUGCUAGGUUUGGCUUUGCAGCUUAUGUAGAGCUGGUUCUGUGAUGAGCUGAGAGGAAAGACAACAGUUACACCAGAAGAUGAGACAUACUUGGUGAAGCUCAGAGCUGUUGUUCCCCAGGUCAGAACCCUUCUCUGCUGUUGACUCAGUGCUUGGUUCUAGGAAGCCACAAUGAAGAUCUGCAGGACUUUGCUAGUUCUUCAGCUCAUGCUGAGUUCUGUGAUUUACAGAGAGAAGUGAAGGUUGUCACAUCAGAUGAACACAAACAAAUGAUGUGACUGCUGAAACAAAUACAUACCAGUUAAAGGUCCGGCAUUGUGUGAGCAACAACUUUUCUAAUGCUGGAUCAAAAGUUUCUUCGGCUCUGAGAGUCACAGUGAUGAGUUGAUGGACUUCUUUUGUUGCUGACCGGUCACACACACACAGAGGGUUUGUUUUCCUGUACAGCACUGGCAGACAAAACUUUCCAUUAAUUUUCAUUACCUUUAAACCUUUUUUAAGCAAAUGUCACAAAACUCUUCAUGAUCAAUAAAUUGUUCAGUCGACUCACAACAUGCUUAAGUCCUGCAGAAGAUCAGUUGCAGCACCUCCUUUCAGAAUAGUGCUGCGUACACGGUGUGUCGGUUUAACUGGUGUUAAGUUAACUGGUGACACUCCAAGCAGAUGUUCAAGAGGCAUGGCUUUUGAGGACCUUUGUUGACAUUCCGUUUAUCAUUCACCAUCUAAUUACACACUUGCAACCGAAUCGUAUCAAUUUAUAGGGCCUUUUGAGACAUGCAUGUCUAGCGGAAUGAGUUUAUUGGGUCAAAGAUGAAGAUGAAUGCACGAAACAUAGGAAGAAGGAAAUCGGUGACUGUGCAAAUGCCAGUUCAAAAUAUAGCUGUCAACGAGUGAGAAAUUUAACAACCCACUGAGCAAAAGACGUUUAUUAGAGGUCUAGUCUAAAUUUAUACUUCAUUUCAAUGUCGGGAUUCCAGCUAUUUUUAGACAUGAUUUAUACUUCGCCCUUAACUUCAUUUUUCGAUAACUUUUUAUGCAAUAAACUUCUGUAUUUGUUUCUAUGUUUUUAAAUUAGUUUUUAAAAACAUUGAAGCUAUAUUUUAUUAUUAAUUCUGCUUUUAUUUUAUCCAUUGUUUGAAUUGUUUCUUGAUUGUUUUUUAUCUUGUUGUUUUGUCUAGUUAUGUACAGCACUUUGUACAGCUGUGGUUGUUAUAAAGUGCUCUACAAAUAAAGUUGAGUUGAGUUGAGUUGAGUAUUGUGCAUAACUGACCUCUCAAUACUGGAUUACAUUACUUAUGAUACCGUGGAGAGAUAUGCAGCAUAGUAUAGAUGUAGACGUCAUUUACAUGUAUAAAUAUAUACUUCAUUUCAACGUCGGAAUUCGGUCUAUUUUUAGACGUGAUUUACACUUUGCACAAAACUUAUUAUUCGAUAACUUUUUAUGAAAAAGACAACUGUAGGGUGCAUAACUGACCUCUAAAUACUGGAUUAGAUUACUUAUGAUACCGUGAAGAGAUAUGCAGCAUAGUAUAGAUGUAGACAUCAUUUACACGUAUAAAUUUAUACUUCAUUACAAUGUUGGGAUUCGGUCUAUUUUUAGACGUGAUUUAGACGUAAAAAUGUAUACGUCAUUUCAACGUCUACAUAUAGACCGAAUCUAGACAAUUGAUUUUAAUCUACAAUUCAAGAGUUGAUUAUUUAAAAUGAUAACUGAACAUUGCAGAACUGAUCUUAAUCUAUGGGUGUCAAAUAACACUCCGGAGUGUGACCAGUGUUUUCGCCUUAUCCGGUCAAAACGCAUAUAUGGCAAAAAAAAACAACUUUGGAUCUUAAAGCCUGGGUCCUGCUGCGCACUCGACAACAAAGUUAGUCGCUGAAAUUCCAUUUCAUUAUUAGAUUUAAUGUGUUUUAUCCGACUGGGUAACGCCUGCUGCCACCGUGACAGUAAUCCAGCCACCGUAUUGGUGGAGCACGCUCACGUGACCAUUCUUAUUCCACCAGGAGCAAAGUAGUCCGUGAUAAAAGUUACCGACAUAGCCGCAAGAACACGAGAUGAGUGACAAAAAAGUAUUUGGUAGCUCUGCAAGAGCCCAGCCUUACACCCUUAUGGAGAUCGUACCAUAAUCGGACCAUAACAUGAAAACGGCUUCAAAUUGUGGACCGCACAACAUCCGGCUGAAGCAUUGCGCUUUGUCCACACUCAACCUCAUGACCGUCGGACUACAACAGAAGUUCCAGUCGUUCCAGAGUUCGAGAAUUAUACUUUCACCUGAAAAGAGGUGGGUGCUGCAGGAGAUAUUAUAGAAAAUGUUUAUUUUUGCAAGCUUUGGUCCUCCCACCGUCGUGCAUCAUGAUGCGUGACGGUGAAAUGCAUUCACGGCAAAUGUUAAACUUGAGUUCGCAUGUAGCCUGGUUGCUACUACGAGGGCUAGCUUGUGGCUAGUUUAGCCAGCGUGGGCCCAACACCAUCAAAUAGUCCAUGCUAACGUGUGUUGUCAUGAAAGGAAAUAAGGGCCUGCUCUCUCUGUUGGAGCCUAGCUUAAAAGCUGCUAGUUAGGCUAUCAAUUUAAAUUAGAAAAUGAAGUCUAUUGUGAUGCUAGUACUGUUGUUUUUGUUUAUCCAGUGUUAAUUUUUUUAUAUAGUUAAAUUUGUGUUUAACUGUAAUUGUCAUAGAUUGUUUUUCACUGUGUGUGGUAGAAAUGGGACGCAUUAGUUGAAUUAUUCCAAUAUUAAUUUGUUAAUGCAUUAGCAGUGCUAUAGGAAAUGCUAAUACUAAAAAUCUAAAAGUAUUGGUAUUAGUAUUUUAGUAAGUAAAAGUAAGUAUUUUUUUUUUACCAAGAGCAAAAGGUAUUCAUUAUGCAUUAUGUCCUGCUUCACAAGUUGUGGUUGAUCUACAAGCUCACACUGUUAAAACAUUAUUAUUUUUCUAUUUUCUUUUUUCCAUG